CUUGCCCACGAUUCUUUCUUCCUCCGCCGCCCACAACCUCUCCCUAGGGCCGGCGCCCUUCUCUCCCUCUCUGAUCAUCUCAGUUCAUCACCCUACCGCCCUGACCACAUCUGAGAUCCGCGUGACAGGGCAAAGCAUGAUGCGGCCGCAAGGAGCCCCUUUGAUGACUGAGCCGACUAGGGCUGGCGCGGGAGUCAUGCCCCAGGAGCUGAACGGCGCGGCAAAGGCGACGAAUCAGAGGUACCGCGGUGCCAGGAUAGCGACCAGCAACGUUGCAGGAGGUCGGAGCUGGCCGCGCUUUUCGUUCGUAGAUCAGAGAAGAAAGCUCAUGGCAGCAUGUGUGACCUCGCCUGCUGCGACAGUGGUCAGGGGUUCCAAACGCACCGCUGUGGAUGCCGCCGUUCUGGGUCGCCCCACUGGCUGUUCCUCCGUCAAUUUAGAUCCCAGAGUCGGAGAUGCAAAAUCCGCGGUCGCCUCCCUUUCUUCCUCAAAUCUCUCUAUUAAUCUCCUGAUUGGGUUAGAGUGGACUAAAAUAAUGCAAUGGAUGGGUUUGAAAUUUGUGUGCUAUCAUCUGGUUCCAUUGUUGAAAACAAGUAUACCUUCUCAUUUCAUCUGAUUUAUUCCUAUUGAGGACAUAAUUGUUACUUUAGGAGUUCCUGAUGUGUGACAAAUAUUGCCUUGGACAAGCCACGACAAGGUUACUUUGAUCAUUGCGAGAUUACAAAUGUUCCAUCCUAUUUGGCCUUUUCUUUGGUAAGCCAUCUGUUUCGUUAUAUGAUUCUUCUUCAAGGGCAGAUAUGUACAGAAUAGAUGAAUGGUCAAAGCAAAAUAAUUGGAUUGAGAAGUUCACCUUACAUGUGUUGUGCUGUUUGUAUUGUUUUUCCUAACAUUUUUUCUUCUUUGUAGAUUUUGUAGCGAUAUCUCAUCCGGUUAGACAAAGCACAUGGUGUUCACUGAAAUGCCUGGAAGAUAGAAUAUAAUUGUGUGAGUUAAGUAGAUACCUUAGAGAUGCUGGUUGAAGUUCCAAGUUAGGAAGAAAAUUUCUCUAGAUGUUUACUUCCUAAAAAUUUCUCAUUGCCUUCUCAAUUGGAUCAGUAAAUGGUUAUAAUUUCCUGUACCAAGUGAGCUGAAUACUCACACCUGACAACUUAUAGCUUGCAAGACGAGUUCAGCCCGGCCCAGUAUAUUGAUGUAUCAGAUAAAGAGGCACCCAAGAUCAGUAGACAUGUCGAUUUGGAACAAAGAAUAAUCACCAAGUUUCUGAAUAUAUGUCCGGUUGGUGCGUUAAAUUGUGUUCUCUAUCCCAUCUACUGCCACUGAAUUAUUUGGUAACUGUGUAUUCUUUUCCUUCGCUUAGAUCAUAUGCUUAUUUCUACUAAAGGGGGACAGGUGCAGUUCUUACAUAAUGUUGUUACAUUUCAGUAAUAAAUGUGUCAUGAUACGUAUUUUUGUGAUGUGUCAUUAAGAUAACGGUGGCAGUCUCAGUUUACUAAUCAAUUGAUGUUUUUAUAUUUGAUCUUCUCCUUCCAUAUCGUGUGUACUUGGCACUUCCAGAACCGUGUUUCCUAUUUUGUACACUCGGUUUUACCUUGCAAUCUUAUAAAGGGAUAAUCCUCACAAGAACUAAUCUACCAGUGUAACUAGCUUCCUGAACCAUAAUUUGCAUGCACUUUCUAUUAGUCGACACAGAAACCUCCUGAACCAUAUUUUGUAUACACUUCGUAUCACCUUACAUAGUUAUGGCAGUUGACUGUUCACUUUGGUUGUUACUUUUUCCUUUUCGCCACACUAAUAUUACAAAUUUGCUCUCAUCAUAGGGAAACACAAUGGAGAGAUGCAUACAAGUCAAUCAUAUAGAUAAAUUUACUGAUUAGUUUGUGUGCCAAAAAAUUUAAGGAUCACUAAAGGUAAAACAGGUUCACAUUCGCAUCUUACAUACACGAGCAGGAGACAAUAACUUUUGUCAGGUGCUCACUCUUGAUACUGCUUGCAUUUUCUGUCUUUUUCUAUUCAUCUUUUGCAUGUCAUACUAAUGGCGACUUAAUUUACUUAUGGAAUAUCCUGCAUGUUGUAUCUGCAAUUCUGCAGUUGCCUACAGGUCAUUUUAAAUUGGAGAAUACUCUGUUCAACACUUGCAUAUACUCUCAUGUACAUUAACUUAAAUUUGCAGUGAAAUAGAUUGCAAAAUCUAAUAUUGGUAUACCAAUUUUGUGAGGCAAGGCUUUGUUUCUUGGUUCUCAACAUUUACAAAGGCAUUUCGUUCUAAGGAUACCGAUAGGAUUAUAAUGCUACUGCGAGUAAAUGAGAGGCAUCAUUGAAAGUUAUGGUAUAUACUGGAGUACUGGACCUGGAUGAAUUUACAUACUCUUAAUGUUAUUUAAAGAUUCUUCGAGUGUUGAAAGCAACUUCAUGCUUCAUAUAUCUGUUCAGGUCUGUAACUCAUAAUCCAGUUUUCUUCCUUAUAAGAAAUGGACGAUGUCACAUAUUUAUCUUUGUGUUAAAUUAUGUAUCAGAUGGCUAAUAGCUAUCAUUUGAGAACGAGUAAUAGUAGCCGUUCUAGGUGAACCAAGCUUAGUUUGAUUUAAUUGUUCAUUUUAAGUAUUGAAUGGAUAGUUGGUGGUUAGGGAUAUUUCAACAAAAUAUACUAUGGUCAAACUAAGACUUUCCUUUUUAUUCUUGGCAUUGUGAUUAAUUUCCACUCCACAGGAAUGGAUGAAGGAGUAUGGAGAAGUAUAUGCCAUGAAAAGAGUUUCACAUUGUUUGUAGAUUAUUGUAUUUCCUAUGGUUUGUCAGAAUAUAGUAUACACUUAUUUCAACAUUUCACAUAUAAGGUCUUUGGUGAAUGGUCCGAUGUUCAAAUGAUGAUCCUCACAGUUGCGUACAUUGGAAAUAGGGCCAACUAAAUUAUUCUCUGAAAUUUUCUUUUUGUAGCUACGGAUGUUGAACAUGUCUUUUUUACAAGGGAUCCACUUUACUAAACUGCAGGUAUAUAGAGCGAUGCAGAUAAUGAGUGUGCCAAAGCUGGACCUAGGCCCUGUUGUCACUACCCACUUGCAGCUGGGAUGGAUCAGAGAGCGCCACCUUGACAAUGCACGACAACAGGCCCUAUCACCGACACUCUCAGGUGGACACGAAGCACAAGAAACUCACAAGUCUGAACUUCAGUGUGCCAAAUUCAGUUUGAGUUUCUGAAAGAGUGAUGUUUCUUAGUCUUAACUAUGAAAUUUAAUUUUCUCAUUGUUCAACAGAAUAUACCUGGGUGGGAUAUUUGGAUGAUAAGAGUAUGCAUAUACAUGUUGUGCAACCAUGUUUUCGAUUCA
Molecule: long non-coding RNA, 3320 nt
Organism: Lolium rigidum
Lineage: Eukaryota; Viridiplantae; Streptophyta; Magnoliopsida; Poales; Poaceae
Exons: 3
Source: RefSeq, a predicted model, not a curated record